UCCUAAAGGGUAUUUUGCUUGCUCACUGUUUGCAUAGUCGUGGGAGCCCUCCUGCCCUACUUUCCUUCCCUUUUCAUCUCCUCUUACUGCUGGUCUCUUGGUGUUAGCAUGUUUUAGGUGGCCUUGUGCAGUCAGCAUAGAGAAGGAUCAAUUUGGUCUUGCUUCUUAAUGGUGAGUCUGCUUCUUAAUGGUGAAAUCACUCCUUGUCGCUGAACUGUGAUUACUUAUCUGUUUGGACUUCUUCAUGCUACCACGUAGGUCUCAUGAGAGGAGCAUUGCCCUUAGCCCACACUCCCCUCGGGGGCCCUUCCAGUCCCUCCCUUCCCCCACAGAGCCUGCACUCCUGAUGUCCGGGGCUGCAUGGUUAUGCCACCAUGCCCCUCUCCUUAGACCCUGUUGUCCAGUUUUCCUGGCGUUUUGAACUUUAUAGACAUUGUACAGUAUGCAUUACUUUGUGUCUGAUUUAUUUUAACAUUAUGUUUGAGAUUCAUAAAUGUUGUAAUUUCUUCAUUUUCAUUGCUGUCUGCUAUUCACCUUUCUAAAUAUGCUACAUGUUUCCGAAUUUUGUUGUUACAAAUGUUGCUCUUGGACCACACAUUUAUACAUUCUGUUGUAUAUACAUGUAGGGAAGGAAUUGCUGAAUGGCACAGAAUUUAUGUAAUUAACUGGUUUCAAGUUAAGAUCAACAGCAUGUAUUUUAUUUUAUUAUUUUUUAAUUACAAGUGUAAAAUCACAGUGGUUCAGCAGCCCUCCUCCUCCUCUCCUCCCCUUGGUGACCACUUGUCGCUUCUCAGUGUCUGUGAGUCUAAUGCAGCUUUGUUCCUUCACAACUGCGUGUCUUUUAAGAAAACUGUUUUCCAAAACAAAAAUAAUUUAGUGAGUAGAAUACAUUAUUUUGCAAAUCUUAACUUUGGAUAAUAGAACAGCUAGAUUCUCAUCUGCUUCUGCCUCCCAUCUGUUGUGAUAGGUCAUUCUGACUGAAGUAUAUGAAGAAUAUAUUUUAUUAGCUUUUUCAGGUAAUUGUGGAUAUUUUUCUUGGCAAGUAACAGUUCUUGAUGGUUAGUUGCAGUGUCGAACCUGAAUUUUUCCUACUCUAUUAACUUAAAAUCCAUUGCCUCCCUUAUACUCUGAGUGAAUCUGUUACCCAUCCAUGAUUUUUGUUGUUUGUUUGUCAGGUCUUCAGAUUUAUUCUAACAUUAUGUUUGAGAUUUAUUUGUAGCAUCACUGAUGGUCACUGGUUAGGUAAUGGUUUGCUAAGUCAGGCAGAUCUUCCUGAUACCAAAACCAUCCAUUAUUCCAUAUAGAAAAUUCACAGUUGUUCCUAUCACCACAGGAUCUCAUCAGUAAAGUCUUUAAAUGUGGAAACUUUUUCAAGUGGACAGUGAUGGGUACAACUUUUCCAAACUUGUAAUUUUUUGCCUGAAAGCUGAUAUUUUAUGAUAGGCUACCAAUAGUGUCAGCUCUUCUCCUUGAAGUAAUAGGCUCAUUUCCUCCUUUUUUGAGAAAAUGUCUGACAAAUAUCCAGGUCUGAAUAACCGUAGUUUGGUCUGUUAGGCAUUCUUUCUAGUAAACUGAUGUUGAGUGGACGAAGUGGUCCGUUCAGUUCACUGCGCAAGUGCUUUUCUCAGGACCCUUGCAGAAAUGCUUUAUGCACACUCCCUUCUUCAUCACAGACAACAGUACUCAAAAGUCGUGUGCUUACAGGUUGAGAUUUAACACAGUUAAUGAUCUCAUCGUAUCAAGGACAUUAAGUGGAACUGGCCUUGUUCUAGAAGCCAAGCAUGUGGCAGUGAGGAACGCCGCAGCCGUGGGCCUGCUCUCUGUGCCAGCCUUUGUUCUCAAGAAGGAUCUGCCACUCCUACCCCGAUGCCUCUGCACCAGCAGCACAGAUGUCAACAUUGAAGAAGGCAAAUAGCAUCUUGGUAUUAGUGUGAAAAUGUAUGAACUAAAUUUUAUCUUGGGUAAUGUAUAUUAGGAAAUAACAGUUCAGUAUCAUCUAUGGUGUCAGGCAUCCUCUGGGGGUCUUCAAUAAGGGGGACUCCCAUGUCACAUCUUACUGACAUGUGGGACUUCUGGAAAUAUGCUGAAUGUGAGCCUGUUGUCAGUUACAUGCAUUGCACAUACCACCUGUCUCUUUUUGCUUCCCUUUUAACUGUUUUAGUGUCUCUUGAUCACAAAUUCAUUUCUAAUCUAGUCAAAUCUCUCAAAUUUUUCCUUUGUAGAUUCUGCUCUCUUUAGUUCUGUUUAUUAAUGAUUCUUCUCGUCAUGAGAUCCUAAAAGUAUUUUUCAGUGUGUGCUUUCUUCUGUCAGCACUGUCCAAAGAAAUAUGUGAACAAAAAAACGCAAGCCACACAGGUAAUUUUCAGUUGUUUAGUUGUGACAUAUCAAAAACCCAAAAGAAACGGGAUCAUAUUUUUUUUAUUUCAAUAUAUUCAAACUAUAAUUUCAGCCUGUACUCAAUGUAAGAAAUACUGAUGUUAUCUGUUGUUUCAUCCUAAAUGUCCUGUGUAUACUUUACACUUUCAGCCCAUAUCACUUACGACUACUCACAUAUCAAAUGCCUAGUAGCUACAUGUGACUAGGGGCUACCAUCCUGAAGCAUGGUCCUCUGUGUUGUUUUGCCUUUCAUAUUUCGAUGUACAACCCUCUUGGAACUGAUAUUAAGUUUUUUAGGUUGUGAGGUAAAGGUCAAGUUUAAUUUACUUACAUAUGGAAAUACAGUUUGCUUAAAACAAUCAUUGACAUAACUGUUCUGCCCCCCACUCCCUUGUGUCCCCUACUCUUCAGAACCACCUUUGUUAUAAAUCAGGUGUCCACAUAUGUGACCCAUGUAUUUUGGGCUGUCUCUUCUACUCCACUGGUUGAUUUGUCUUUGUGCCAACAGCAUGCUCUCUUAAUUACUGUAAUUUUGUCAUAAACCUCAUAUUCAGAAAGUCCUCUUACCUUGAACUCUUCAAAAUUAUCUUAGUUAUUGCAUGUCUGUAUAUUGAAAAUUAUCUUGUCAAUUAAAAAAAUCUUACUGA
Manis javanica (Malayan pangolin) is the source of this 3023-nucleotide non-coding RNA. Lineage: Eukaryota; Metazoa; Chordata; Mammalia; Pholidota; Manidae. The record is from RefSeq and is a predicted model, not a curated record.